This 163-nucleotide ribosomal RNA is filed under the name Plectocomiopsis geminiflora. RNAcentral's name for it is "5.8S ribosomal RNA". It matches the Rfam family "5.8S ribosomal RNA". Rfam says of the family: 5.8S ribosomal RNA (5.8S rRNA) is a component of the large subunit of the eukaryotic ribosome. It is transcribed by RNA polymerase I as part of the 45S precursor that also contains 18S and 28S rRNA. The record is from RNAcentral. Lineage: Eukaryota; Viridiplantae; Streptophyta; Magnoliopsida; Arecales; Arecaceae.
GGUAUGAAUCUUGGCAAUAGAUAUCUUGGCUCUCGCAUCGACGAAGAAUGUAGUGAAAUGUGAUACAUGGUGUGAAUUGCAAAAUCCCUCGAACCAUUGAGUCAUUGAAUGCAAGUUGUGCCUGAGGCCAUCUGUCGAGGGCACGCCUACCUGGGCAUUGAGC